Vigna umbellata (rice bean) is the source of this 591-nucleotide non-coding RNA. The record is from RefSeq and is a predicted model, not a curated record. NCBI's taxonomy places the organism in Eukaryota, Viridiplantae, Streptophyta, Magnoliopsida, Fabales, Fabaceae.
UCUUCUGCAAUAAAUAAAAUUUUAAAAUAUUAGAAUUCUGUAUUAUUAUCAUAGUUGUACCUAAUCUUCUUACGCCAAAGUCUCUCAAUAAGAUCUUAAAACAAAGUCAAAUUCAUACAAUGUGUUUUUCCUCUUUAUCCAAUUAACCAUUGCUGUAAUUGCAAUAUUGUUUUGCUAAUGUUUGUUAUAUUGGUCGAGAUCAAGCAAACUCGUUUGAAUUAGUGUUUGCUGAGUAGGGAAUUCUUACCUUACAAGACCACUCCUUGAAGGUGCCCCAAGUACCAGAAGCUCGAUGGCGUAUUUAGAAAUACCUUCUAUUAAUCCCUUGGUUAUAUCUACGUCAUCCAAAGACCCGAAACGAAGCGAAAAGUUCUUUAGAUUCGUUGUCCAUCUGUUGCAUGUAUGCUCUAGCCACAUCAUCGUUGCCAUCAAGAGAUAUUGUCACAAAAUUGGCCUUCUAUAUUUCAGACAAAUACAUAUAGGCAUAGAGCAAUCAAUUAUAUGAAAUUUAGGUUCGAUGAUUACUUGGUGUAGGAAUGGAAGAUGCUCUCUGUCUAACAUGGAGCAGUAAGAGCGCUUGUUCUUUGGGAA